CUCCCAUAACGAAGACACAAAAUACAUACUGUCGUUUGUUUAAAUUAUUAUUGAUAUCUAUCGUCUAUAAAUUGGAAGGAACAUAUCCUGCGUCUAAAAAAAGUUAGUUUCUGUCGCUCUUAACUGAUGCUUUGGCUGACGUUACGGUUUCAUGGAAGCUAACAUUCUGGGACACAGCCGGUGAAAUGCUGUGUGUUAGUCUACUGGGUAGCUCGAUGCGACUCAAACCGACGACGUGAGGAAACAAAAAAUGACAUCUCGAACGCCGUGGCUGCCGUAUCACCUCAAUGGAGUAUUUUGUUUGGGCUCACCGUUUAUUGUUUAUGCACGUUUUAAAAACGAUCCAUGAUAGGUGCCUGAAAUUCGCCGGCCUUCUAAAUCCUCAAGGAUAUAAGUGUUGGUCCCUAAGACGUCGCGAACCCGAACUUUAGUGAACUUUUGGCCGAACUUUCCCACAAAUUGUUUAUCUUUGUUAGACAAAUGGACAUUCUUCUUGUACACAACAUCAUUUUUCUUGAAUACAUGUUUUUGAUUGGCGCGCAGAUUAUACGGGGU
Wyeomyia smithii (pitcher-plant mosquito) is the source of this 555-nucleotide long non-coding RNA. RefSeq lists it as uncharacterized. The record is from RefSeq and is a predicted model, not a curated record. NCBI's taxonomy places the organism in Eukaryota, Metazoa, Arthropoda, Insecta, Diptera, Culicidae. The transcript is spliced from 3 exons.